GCCGGAGUAGCUCAGCUGGUAGAGCGGCGCAUUCGUAAUGCGUAGGUCGGGGGUUCGAUUCCCUUCUCCGGCACCA
This 76-nucleotide transfer RNA is filed under the name Dokdonella sp. Its description in RNAcentral is "tRNA-Thr". It matches the Rfam family "tRNA". From Rfam's summary of the family: Transfer RNA (tRNA) molecules are approximately 80 nucleotides in length. Their secondary structure includes four short double-helical elements and three loops (D, anti-codon, and T loops). Further hydrogen bonds mediate the characteristic L-shaped molecular structure. tRNAs have two regions of fundamental functional importance: the anti-codon, which is responsible for specific mRNA codon recognition, and the 3' end, to which the tRNAs corresponding amino acid is attached (by aminoacyl-tRNA synthetases). tRNAs cope with the degeneracy of the genetic code in two manners: having more than one tRNA (with a specific anti-codon) for a particular amino acid; and 'wobble' base-pairing, i.e. permitting non-standard base-pairing at the 3rd anti-codon position. The record is from RNAcentral. Lineage: Bacteria; Pseudomonadati; Pseudomonadota; Gammaproteobacteria; Lysobacterales; Rhodanobacteraceae.